Molecule: ribosomal RNA, 253 nt
Filed under: uncultured bacterium
Lineage: Bacteria
Description: partial 16S ribosomal RNA
Rfam family: Bacterial small subunit ribosomal RNA
Source: RNAcentral
UACAGAGGGUGCGAGCGUUAAUCGGAAUUACUGGGCGUAAAGGGCGCGUAGGCGGUUAAAUAAGUUGGAUGUGAAAUCCCUGGGCUUAACCUAGGAACUGCAUACAAGACUGUUUGACUGGAGUGCGGUAGAGGGUAGUGGAAUUUCCGGUGUAGCGGUGAAAUGCGUAGAUAUCGGAAGGAACACCGGUGGCGAAGGCGGCUACCUGGACUGACACUGACGCUGAGGCGCGAGAGCGUGGGUAGCAAACAGG